AAGCUCUUACUGCAGGCAGAUUGAAGCGUCUUACUUUCUGAAAAUUGGAGUGUGACAAUAUGAACCGCUUUGACCGACCAGACAGAAAUGUUCGGCAGCCUCAGGAAGGUUUUUGGAAAAGGCCACCCCAGAGGUGGAGUGGACAGGAGCAUUACCACCUCAGCCACCCUGAUCACUAUCAUCACCAUGGAAAAAGUGACUUGAGCAGAGGCUCUCCCUAUAGAGAAUCUCCUUUGGGUCAUUUUGAAAGCUAUGGAGGGAUGCCCUUUUUCCAGGCUCAGAAGAUGUUUGUUGAUGUACCAGAAAAUACAGUGAUACUGGAUGAGAUGACCCUUCGGCACAUGGUUCAGGAUUGCACUGCUGUAAAAACUCAGUUACUCAAACUGAAACGUCUCCUGCAUCAGCAUGAUGGAAGUGGUUCAUUGCAUGAUAUUCAACUGUCGUUGCCAUCCAGUCCGGAACCAGAAGAUGGUGAUAAAGUAUAUAAGAAUGAAGAUUUAUUAAAUGAAAUAAAACAACUUAAAGAGGAAAUAAAGAAAAAAGAUGAAAAGAUCCAACUAUUAGAACUUCAGCUUGCAACUCAGCAUAUCUGCCACCAAAAAUGUAAAGAGGAAAAAUGCACUUAUGCUGAUAAAUAUACCCAAACACCCUGGAGACGAAUUCCUCCUCAAGUACUACAGCCUUCCAGCAGCCUUCCCAGACCCACAGACCACACCCAGGGAAAACUAAUAAAGCCACAACGUAUCGAGGCCCGCAGUGAAUGCGCAAUCCAAGACAUGCAUCAGGGCAUUGCACAUCCAGAAGAAAGCUUUACACACGUCUUGCAACAAGAAAGCAACUAUGGUUUGGAAGAGCAGCCUUUUUCAUCAGGCCCACAA
Molecule: small RNA, 878 nt
Filed under: Pongo abelii (Sumatran orangutan)
Lineage: Eukaryota; Metazoa; Chordata; Mammalia; Primates; Hominidae
Description: processed transcript
Source: RNAcentral